GGUUAAAGCUUCCUAUGAACUAAUCCUGUUUGAUCUUGAAAAUCUAAGCAAAAUCAGACUUUGUCAGUAUUUCAAUGGGAGACCACCAGGAAAUCCCGGGGCUGUGGUCU
This 110-nucleotide ribosomal RNA is filed under the name Notechis scutatus (mainland tiger snake). The record is from RNAcentral. Lineage: Eukaryota; Metazoa; Chordata; Lepidosauria; Squamata; Elapidae.